RNAcentral lists this ribosomal RNA (167 nucleotides) under Coelonotus leiaspis. RNAcentral describes it as "partial 12S rRNA". The record is from RNAcentral. Lineage: Eukaryota; Metazoa; Chordata; Actinopteri; Syngnathiformes; Syngnathidae.
CACCGCGGUUAUACGAAAGACUCAAGCUGACAGACAACGGCGUAAAGCGUGGUUAAGAGUACAACAAACUAAAGCCGAACACCUUCUUAGCUGUUUAACGUAUUUGAAUAUAAGAAGCACAAUUACGAAAGUAGCUUUAAACCCCUGACCCCACGAAAGCUAUGAAA